Molecule: long non-coding RNA, 974 nt
Organism: Wyeomyia smithii (pitcher-plant mosquito)
Lineage: Eukaryota; Metazoa; Arthropoda; Insecta; Diptera; Culicidae
Exons: 3
Source: RefSeq, a predicted model, not a curated record
ACGAUGCAUCAAUUAAAGAGGAUCUCAAUCGGCCUAUAGUUAAUCACGAUUCAGUGGUUGUACGAAAAUUGGAGAAAAAUAUAGGACUUUUUGUGUUGAGCUGCUACGAGAUUUGACUGCUAAACAACUUUCGGACGAAUGUCGAGUCAAUUUCCGACUUCCACUUUGCAAGAUUUUGGACGGUCGGAUCACUGCCUCGCUUUGGACACAGCACUAUGUUGAUGAUUUACAAGCCGAAUAGAUGAGCUUAAUUUUGACGGAAACACGUAAUUAACAACGGUCUCACGAGAAUUGAACAGGCAAGCGCUUCGUGGACAUGUAAAAAAAAAUAUUUCAUUCAAACUAUUCAUACGAUUCCAACACCAGUACAGAACGGAAAAUCCAACACUAUGGACCUAUAAAAUAAAAUCGUUUGUCGGGAAUGCAAAUUAAUUUCGCAGUCAGUUUCACCUGACUCUAAAUCACCUGAGACUUUAAACCAACUGAAAAAAUUAAGCGUAAAUGUGAAAGAUGAAGGAUGGGUGAUGUGAAUGGAUGAUGUUCUCUGGAGCUACACACAUGAAACCAAUGAAUCCCGGACUUUACAAAAUUCUAGAAGAACGUGCUAAUGUCUACAAGAUUGUCACUCCGGUUUUGAGAUAAACACCGCCUUCAAAUGAGAAAUAUUCAGCGGAACUGAAACGAUUAGGCCGAGUAUCUAUUGCCGUGCCAACUGCUACGCAGGGACUAACUACCAGUUAUCUUCGUACGAAGUAGUGCUGCUCAUGGUGCGAAUUGUUUCGGAUGAUGAGAAAAUCUGGAGAUGGGAAAUCGGAUGAUGAGAAAAGACGGUGCGUUAUCAGGAUCUGUACGCUAAACAUACAAAUUAUUCAUCAAAGUCAAACAAACCAAGGCGCAAGGCAUUUCAGAUAUGCGUUCAAAGGUGUACAAGCGCAAAAGAAAAAUCAGUAGCAUGAGUGAGCUUAACGGGUUAC